RNAcentral lists this ribosomal RNA (408 nucleotides) under uncultured Prolixibacteraceae bacterium. RNAcentral's name for it is "bacterial SSU rRNA". It matches the Rfam family "Bacterial small subunit ribosomal RNA", at positions 506 to 916 of the family's 1533-position model. The record is from RNAcentral. Lineage: Bacteria; Pseudomonadati; Bacteroidota; Bacteroidia; Marinilabiliales; Prolixibacteraceae.
UGCCAGCCGCCGCGGUAAUACGGAGGAUGCAAGCGUUAUCCGGAUUCAUUGGGUUUAAAGGGUGCGCAGGUGGGAAUGUAAGUCAGUGGUGAAAUACUGCCGCUUAACGGUAGAGCUGCCAUUGAUACUGCGUUUCUUGAGUAUGGUUGAGGUAGGUGGAAUGUGUUGUGUAGCGGUGAAAUGCAUAGAUAUGACACAGAACGCCGAUUGCGAAGGCAACUUACUAAGCCAUUACUGACGCUGAGGCACGAAAGCGUGGGUAGCGAACAGGAUUAGAUACCCUGGUAGUCCACGCUGUAAACGAUGUUCACUCGCUGUUUGCGAUACACAGUAAGCGGCUGAGCGAAAGCAUUAAGUGAACCACCUGGGGAGUACGAUCGCAAGGUUGAAACUUAAAUGAAUUGACGG